UGGGGAAUUUUGGACAAUGGGCGCAAGCCUGAUCCAGCAAUGCCGCGUGCAGGAUGAAGGCCUUCGGGUUGUAAGCUGCUUUUGUACGGAACGAAAAGCCUCUCUCUAAUACAGGGGGGCUGAUGACGGUACCGUAAGAAUAAGCACCGGCUAACUACGUGCCAGCAGCCGCGGUAAUACGUAGGGUGCAAGCGUUAAUCGGAAUUACUGGGCGUAAAGCGUGCGCAGGCGGUUUUGUAAGACAGUGGUGAAAUCCCCGGGCUCAACCUGGGAACUGCCAUUGUGACUGCAAGGCUGGAGUGCGGCAGAGGGGGAUGGAAUUCCGCGUGUAGCAGUGAAAUGCGUAGAUAUGCGGAGGAACACCGAUGGCGAAGGCAAUCCCCUGGGCCUGCACUGACGCUCAUGCACGAAAAGCGUGGGGAGCAAAACAGGAUUAGAUACCCCUGGUAGUCCACGCCCCUAAAACGAUGUCAACUGGUUGUUGGGGGAUUUUAUUUCUUCAGUAACGAAGCUAACGCGUGAAGUUGACCGCCUGGGGGAGUACGGCCGCAAGGUUAAAAACUU
RNAcentral lists this ribosomal RNA (564 nucleotides) under uncultured bacterium. RNAcentral describes it as "partial 16S ribosomal RNA". It matches the Rfam family "Bacterial small subunit ribosomal RNA", at positions 355 to 902 of the family's 1533-position model. The record is from RNAcentral.